CCACACUGGGACUGAGACACGGCCCAGACUCCUACGGGAGGCAGCAGUGGGGAAUCUUGCGCAAUGGGCGAAAGCCUGACGCAGCAACGCCGCGUGGGGGAUGAAGGCUCUCGGGUUGUAAACCCCUUUCAGCAGGGACGAAUUUGACGGUACCAGCAGAAGAAGCCCCGGCCAACUACGUGCCAGCAGCCGCGGUAACACGUAGGGGGCAAGCGUUGUCCGGAUUUAUUGGGCGUAAAGAGCUCGUAGGCGGCUCAGUAAGUCGGGUGUGAAACCUCCAGGCUCAACCUGGAGACGCCACCUGAUACUGCUGUGGCUAGAGUCCGGUAGGGGAGCGUGGAAUUCCUGGUGUAGCGGUGAAAUGCGCAGAUAUCAGGAGGAACACCAGCGGCGAAGGCGGCGCUCUGGGCCGGAACUGACGCUGAGGAGCGAAAGCGUGGGUAGCAAACAGGAUUAGAUAC
RNAcentral lists this ribosomal RNA (461 nucleotides) under uncultured Actinomycetes bacterium. RNAcentral describes it as "bacterial SSU rRNA". It matches the Rfam family "Bacterial small subunit ribosomal RNA", at positions 308 to 785 of the family's 1533-position model. Lineage: Bacteria; Bacillati; Actinomycetota; Actinomycetes. The record is from RNAcentral.